Molecule: ribosomal RNA, 497 nt
Filed under: uncultured bacterium
Lineage: Bacteria
Description: partial 16S ribosomal RNA
Rfam family: Bacterial small subunit ribosomal RNA
Source: RNAcentral
AAUGAACGCUGGCGGCGUGCCUAAUACAUGCAAGUCGAGCGAACAGAUGAGGAGCUUGCUCCUCUGACGUUAGCGGCGGGCGGGUGAGUAACACGUGGAUAACCUACCUAUAAGACUGGGAUAACUUCGGGAAACCGGAGCUAAUACCAGAUAAUAUAUUGAACCGCAUGGUUCAAUAGUGAAAGACGGUUUUGCUGUCACUUAUAGAUGGAUCCGCGCCGCAUUAGCUAGUUGGUAAGGUAACGGCUUACCAAGGCAACGAUGCGUAGCCGACCUGAGAGGGUGAUCGGCCACACUGGAACUGAGACACGGUCCAGACUCCUACGGGAGGCAGCAGUAGGGAAUCUUCCGCAAUGGGCGAAAGCCUGACGGAGCAACGCCGCGUGAGUGAUGAAGGUCUUCGGAUCGUAAAACUCUGUUAUUAGGGAAGAACAAAUGUGUAAGUAACUAUGCACGUCUUGACGGUACCUAAUCAGAAAGCAACGGCUAACUACGUG